AGCGGCAACAGCUCAGAUUUGAAAUCUGGCCCUUACGGGGUCCGAGUUGUAAUCUGUAGAGGAUGCUUUUGGCGACGCGCCUUCCGAGUCCCCUGGAACGGGGCGCCAGAGAGGGUGAGAGCCCCGUAUGGUUGGACGCCGAACCUCUGUAAAGCUCCUUCGACGAGUCGAGUAGUUUGGGAAUGCUGCUCAAAAUGGGAGGUAAAUUUCUUCUAAAGCUAAAUACCGGCCAGAGACCGAUAGCGCACAAGUAGAGUGAUCGAAAGAUGAAAAGCACUUUGAAAAGAGGGUUAAAUAGCACGUGAAAUUGCUGAAAGGGAAGCGCUUGUGACCAGACUUGCGCCCGGUUGAUCAUCCAGCGUUCUCGCUGGUGCACUCUGCCGGGCUCAGGCCAGCAUCGGCUCUCCCAGGGGGAUAAAGGUCGCGGGAACGUAGCUCUCUCCGGGGAGUGUUAUAGCCCGUGGCGGAAUGCCCUUAGGGGGGGCCGAGGCCCGCGUUCGCAAGGAUGCUGGCGUAAUGGUCACCAGCGACCCGUCUUGAA
RNAcentral lists this ribosomal RNA (541 nucleotides) under Distoseptispora nanchangensis. Its description in RNAcentral is "Distoseptispora sp. YH-2023g partial large subunit ribosomal RNA". It matches the Rfam family "Eukaryotic large subunit ribosomal RNA", at positions 97 to 658 of the family's 3401-position model. Lineage: Eukaryota; Fungi; Ascomycota; Sordariomycetes; Distoseptisporaceae. The record is from RNAcentral.